CCUACGGGCGGCAGCAGUGAGGAAUAUUGGUCAAUGGGCGGGAGCCUGAACCAGCCAAGUCGCGUGAAGGAAGAAGGUACUUAGUAUUGUAAACUUCUUUUGUCGGGGAACAAAGGCGGAGACGCGUCUCCGGCUGAGUGUACCCGAAGAAAAAGCAUCGGCUAACUCCGUGCCAGCAGCCGCGGUAAUACGGAGGAUGCGAGCGUUAUCCGGAUUUAUUGGGUUUAAAGGGUGCGCAGGCGGGAGAUCAAGUCAGCGGUAAAAUUUCGGGGCUCAACCCCGGCCGGCCGUUGACACUGGUUUUCUAGAGUUGGAGAGAAGUAUGCGGAAUGCGUGGUGUAGCGGUGAAAUGCAUAGAUAUCACGAAGAACUCCGAUUGCGAAGGCAGCAUACCGGCUCCAUACUGACGCUGAGGCACGAAAGCGUGGGGAUCGAACAGGAUUAGAUACCCCAGUAGUC
Molecule: ribosomal RNA, 459 nt
Filed under: uncultured bacterium
Lineage: Bacteria
Description: partial 16S ribosomal RNA
Rfam family: Bacterial small subunit ribosomal RNA
Source: RNAcentral